CGGAGCUGAGGCAGCUCUGGCCCUUCACAGCUCUGUGGCCCCGAGACGCGGGGGACAAGGCAGAGGGCUUGGGGGAGAGGGAUAGAAGGGCAGCGUGUGACUCUCUGACCGGGCAGUGAGCAGGCCCCCAGCUACAGGCUAUGAGACUAGUGAUUACUGAGAAAUGAAGUGACCCACUGACCCAGACCUAUGAGCCUUUGAAGAAGUAGAAAUGGGUUCUUCUCUAUGAGGAGAAAAUUGAGCUAUGACUAGCCAUUUCCUUACUGAAGAUGACCAACUGGUUCAAAAUGCAGCCCUAAGAUCAUCUUUGGAAUUCAUGAACUUCGUUGGUUCUAUGAUCUCUUCAAUGAGCAAUUGACCUGAAAUGGUGGAGAAUCAAAUCAAUCCAUACCUCUAUAUUCUUUAUGAUUCUUCUACAAGUCAUCCUAUAAACCCUCCAAAAGGUUGGAAGGUACUCAAUAUUCUGAAGAUUAUCUUCUAGAUGGCUUGACUUGAAUGGACACUAGUGGAGCGUAUAGAUGUUGUUCAUCCUUCCUUUCAAAGAGGACCAGUGACCUCACAGGGUAAUGUCUUGACUUUCUUGUGAA
This is a non-coding RNA of Phascolarctos cinereus (koala), 587 nucleotides long. NCBI's taxonomy places the organism in Eukaryota, Metazoa, Chordata, Mammalia, Diprotodontia, Phascolarctidae. The record is from RefSeq and is a predicted model, not a curated record.